Molecule: ribosomal RNA, 253 nt
Filed under: uncultured bacterium
Lineage: Bacteria
Description: partial 16S ribosomal RNA
Rfam family: Bacterial small subunit ribosomal RNA
Source: RNAcentral
UACGGAGGAUCCAAGCGUUAUCCGGAUUUAUUGGGUUUAAAGGGUGCGUAGGCGGCGUUGUAAGUCAGUGGUGAAAGUUUUCAGCUUAACUGGAAAAUUGCCAUUGAUACUGCAGUGCUUGAGUACAGAUGAGGUAGGCGGAAUUGACGGUGUAGCGGUGAAAUGCUUAGAUAUCGUCAAGAACACCUAUAGCGAAGGCAGCUUACUAGGCUGUAACUGACGCUGAGGCACGAAAGUGUGGGGAUCAAACAGG